Molecule: long non-coding RNA, 9405 nt
Filed under: Gallus gallus (chicken)
Lineage: Eukaryota; Metazoa; Chordata; Aves; Galliformes; Phasianidae
Source: RNAcentral
GGUAUAUAUAUGGAUAUUUUGGGUUGAGAAACAGAGGCUUCUGUUCUGCAUGUUUUUAUGUACAUAUUUAACUGUACUUAUCAGUGUCAUCCUGGGACGGUGCUUCUUCCUCAGAACUUCAGUGACAUAAAAAAAGGGCAGUGCUUUUAAUGUAAGCCUUUGCUUUAUUCUCCCCAAACUUACAGUGCGAAGAUACUGCUUUAAAUAAACGGAAUGGAUAAUUAAACACCAGAAUCUAGUUAAGAAAAGCAUUUGAACUCUUUGUAAGGUACUCCAGAUAUGGUCAGCACCAGUGAAAAUUAGAUUGUUUCAGUAACGUUCUACAAAGUUGAAAUGCAUUUCAAUGGAAUCAUCACAAGAAAAAAAACCAACUCAUUUUGGAGACUAUUCAUAAAGUUUAUGAUUUUGCUCUGUAAUAUGAAUGAAAUGAGCUAUGCAUCAUUUUCAAAAUACUUUUUUAUAAUGCCACAGAAUUAUAAAAACUGGGGAAAUUAUUCAUCUGUCUUUUGGUUUUUAUAUAUGCAAAGAACAAUACCCUUAAGCUUAUUAGGUUUUCGUAUAGGUGGGAAUAGAUGCUGGCUGUGCAUCAAGCUAAACUGCUAUUGAACGCAGUAUUGCAGAAAACAAGGUGGGACAAAAGUAAAGCCUAAACCAAGUUCAGGGUUAUUCUGUAAUAAUGCUUAUGAUGUCUAAAAUACAGAUAUUGAGAGAAACAAGGAUAUUUUUCCCAUGAAUCGUUGAACAGGACUAUUAUUCUCAGCACAGCCUCCCAUACUAGGACGGAACUGCUUUUUCUUCGAAGAAUAAACAGAAUGCUGCAUCUGAAGAGUAAGGAGGUAAGGCACUUGAGAUUGUUCUUUCAGGAAGCAGUUAAAAGUAAUUUCAAUGACUUGUAAUGAAUGCAAAUAUACAAAAAUACUUGAUUUAUUAUGCAUCGUGAAGUCUUAAAUGGUUUAUAUCAGUUCCCGCUUGUUGGUUUUUUUUUCCUUUUUAUUACAUGGGUGGAAUUUCUGAUAGUAUUCAGCUCUGCUUUCUAAAUGUGUUUUCACUGAAAUCAGUGAGCUGACCUGAGUGGGAAUAAAGGGUGGUUUAUCUUUAGUGAGACAAAGUUAAGUCAUCACUAAGUAAUUUUGAAAUCCCAUCCUUGAAAUACUGGGGCUUUGACAUUCAGUGGGAUGAGAAUCUCAGAACAGACUGACUACUGUGGACUCCCAGGCUACGGCUCAGGCAAAUAACUUCUUUGGAGGAGGAUCUGAAAGGUUUCUUCUUUUCUAAAUUAUGAUCAUUAAGAAGCAAAGGAUGCAACUUAAACUGUGAAGAUUUUCCUCUUACAUUUAAAAUAGAUUUGCCUGUACCUGUGAGAGGUCUAUUAGUUCUAGUUGGAGCAUUAUACAAUUAUCUAAUGAUUCAGAGGUACUGUUUCUAAAGAGAUCUUCUUUACCACCAUAGAACAUGAAUCUCUAGUUCCACUCACAGUGAUUUUAUCUUGUUUUCCAACACGUAGCCAGAAGUAAGAUUCUAGUUCUGCUACUGCAAUUUCCAUUUUGCAAAGACAGAGAUGUCUUGGUAAUGCAUGCAUAAUUUAGAUAUAAUAGCUUCUCUAUUGGAAUAAGUGUUAGGGGCUCUGUUCAGAUGAUGGAAUUAACUUGAUUUGUUUCGUGUUCCUGCUGGUCUCUACUUUCUCCAGGUAGCUCAGCUGUUUGAGUGCCAACAGCCCAAUGUAGUUUGUAACCAGAGCUGUAAAGUCACCUGGAAUUGGUGCUACUUUACUUUUAUUUCCACUCUUGUAAAGUAGUGAAGCAGGUGCUGCUACUGCAUUAGUGGAGGCGGGGAACUUGGAGAAGAACUGAGUGUGCCAUGGGAAUGUGAACUGUUACAGUCAUCUCCUGUAAUCAGUCCUACCUUAUCAUCUGGGGUCUUCUGUCACUCUGUUUUGGUGUGAGAUGGGGAGGGGCUGGGCAGAGGAGAAAUUGAAAAUGAUUCUGUAAUUGGUAGGGAAAAAAAAAGCUAGAAAUGUUCUUUCUGGAAAAAACUUUUUUUUUUUUUAAACAUGAUGUGCUUUUUUUUUUUUAAGUCAUUAAAUCAUUAAUGCUUGGGGAUUUGUUUAUUCAGGAUUUACUCAGUGUCAGUUACGGACUUACUUCCUUGCUUUCUUCAAAAACAGAAAGAUGCUUUAAAGGAUAAGGACUUUGAAAUGAAGAAUAAAAAAGGAGAAUGUUUUAAGAAAAAGGUGUUUAUAAUGGACCAAAGAAAUACAUAUGUUAUCUUUUAAAAAAUAUUUAACUCGAGUGAAGCUCCUGUAUUGCAAGCCUCAAGACCCAGGUAAGAGAAGUUUCUCUGAGAAAGGGGAGAGGAAGCUAAUUGUUUUCCAAAGAGAAAUGGGACUAAGAUAUUCUGUAGUACUUAUACAUCAGCGUGUUGGGCACAGAAAUUGCUAUGCACACAAGUCAUAGAUAUAGCGCUGAUACUAUGCUUCUAACUUAGUGUGCUAAUGAUAGAGAAGUCGCCGGCUGUGAGAUCUGAUGUUAAGCCCUGAGGUGAGUUACCCAGUGACAACAGUACUGGAUGCCACACAACACUCUCUGAAGGUUUCUGUUCCUAGCAUUAUGACAUUGUUUUAAGAACAAAAAGGUGUCCUGAUCAUCAGCAUCCGGCUUAAAUACUGCCCUCUUGGAUCUCACUGUGUUAAUGUUAUCAUAUUGAACUGGAUGGUUAAGUUUUCAGAGAAGAAGACUGUUUUUCCUUAUCUGAAGUCUGACUAUGGGAGUUUCAGGGUCUUCAAAAGAGGACAUCUCAUUCCUGGUGUGCUUGCCAAGAAGAGGUUAUGAAGACUGCAUAGUGUCUUGAAAAAUGAACUUUGUUAUCCUGCUACAGAAUGGGUAAUUGUAUGUGUUAGGCAGUACAGGUUCCUGAUUGCUUGGUUUAACUCUAUGGAGUUAGUCUAAAGUACCAUGCUUCUUGCAAAAAUAGUAGAGGUUGAAGCACAGCAGAGGGAAAGAACUAGUGAGUAUACUGUAGGUCUUUUUCUUGGGUUACAGACCAAGUUAUGGAAUGCCAUCUUCCAAGAUAGAAACACUACUUGGCAUCAGAUGAGGACUUUGAUCAGCACUCCAAGGAGGGAUAGUCAGCAGUAUGAAUUUUAUUCUGUGCAGCACUUUAAGUACAGCAGAGACCUGGCACUGAGACUCCAGAUGCCUUGAAAGACCUUGUGCUUCACAUGAAGACAGUCUUAAAUUCAUGGACAAUGUAUUUCAGUUUGUAGAUGGAUGAAGUGCCCCAUGCUUUGGUUUGUUAAUGGCCAUGGUUGGAAACAUCUUUUUGCUAAAUUCUACAAGUUAUUUUCAUGACUGUUGCUGGAAUUUAUUUACUCUGUAGUUUGUUCGUGAAGAUAUUCACAGUUCUUUAAGCCCUGUCUGUCUUGACACGUACCUGUUUGUUCCUAAACAUCAAAUGAGGUUGUUCACUCCUGAAUCUGAUCUGUUUCUGCUACUGCUUUCUCUUUCAUCCUGGUUUUAGAGAAACUGUCUUUCAUGGCAAUUUGCUGUGGACUAACUUCUUUAUUAGGCCAUUUAAUUCUGGAGAUAUUGGUCAUAUAUAUUAUUACCUAACAAUCUCAUUUACCAACAAAGGCCAAUUAAUAGUAGUAUCUUAUAGCCACGGGGGCACAAUGUGGGGCCAGAAGCAAUGUGAACUGAAUUUCCUAGUCAUAUUUUAUUUAGCAGAAUAUCUAUAAUAUUAAAUAUAAUAUUAAAUAUAGUAUAUAUUGAAGAUUAAUUUCACCUAAAUAAUAAUGAAAAUGGAACUCUGACAAUUGGAAAGAGAAACUUGACUGAGGGAUUUUGGGGAAAAAAGCUUUGGCAUCUACAUGAAGAAAAUAUAUUCCUCAUUUUUUUCCAGAAGUUCACUGGAGAUUUUUACUCAUAGUUUAAAGAAAUGUUCAGAUGUCCAAAGGAGCAGUGCAGGUGACUUGAAAGCAAUAACUUAUGGUAUCACACUCUUCAAGAUGCUUUGUAUCAGUGUCUUGUCUCGCUUUCCUGAUGUGCAAAUGAAGCUUGUCCAAUAUGUGUUACCCCAGAAAGAAUUAAGAUAAUUGAAGUCAGAAUAUCUGAACUUGGAUCGCUUGCAAGUAAGGAUGAUCUGCAUGCACAUGUUCUGUAAAGAUAAUGGUGAACAGAUCCAGAUGAUUCCUGAUUUAAAGCUACAGAAGAGGGAGUAAUCCUGAUUCCUAUAUUAAAAGGAGGGGAAUUUCAUGAUGGGGAGAAGACUGAGAAUGUGUGUAACCUUUCUGCUCUGAGGCUGGAAGUACUGAAGAAUGGACAUGAGCCAGAGACACGAACAGGAAGAGCCAAAAGCCUGAGGGACCUUUGGCCAUUCAGAGAACAUUCACCAGCUUUAACUAGCUGUUCUCUGUCCUAUGCUUGUUGACUGUUCCACUCGCUUUCUGCCUCUUUACUUCUGCUUCAAUCCUGUUUGCACUGCAUGCUUUUUUUCCCCCAAUCUGCCCUUCUUCGUGCUUUUUAAAGUUUUUUGUUUGGCUGACUUUUUUUUUUUUUUGCUUUUUUUGUUUGUUUCAAUGGGUGGCUUUUAACUGCCCUAUGUUUGUGUGCUCUCUGACAAAACAGAACUUCCGUUUUCAUAAGUCUUCAAGUAUGAUUAAUGUUCCUUCGUCCUGCUUUUUGUAAGGAAUCACUUGAAGGCAAACGAGUACCCUUAAUGAGAUGAGAUGAUGUGUAUGAGGUUUAACGGGAUAAGGGAACCUUUGCUCCUGCAGAUUUUCUGUAGGUGAACUAGAGAUUUAGAAGAGCAGAUGUUGAAACAUCUAUACAUCCUUCUAUUCAGGAAAAAAGUCUAUAACUUUAUUACAGUCCAACAUGCUAUGUAUGAUGAACAUUUCAGAAUGGAUAUUACGUUGACUAUAUUUGCAUUGUACAUGCAGUUGUUGGCAAUUUUUUGGUUUGUUUUCCCCAUUUCACAGCUCUUAAAUUUGCUUUUAGAGACCGUUUUGGUAGGUGUAGGUUGCUUGUCUGAAAUCUGUUCUGAAGCUUCAGUGCAAAGCAAGCGCAGCACUGAUGAUGGAUGUGAAUGGACAUCUUAAGGAUAACUGGAUGUGGCAUCUUCAGAAACAGUGGCGUUUUGGUGGGCGGAAGAGAUAAUCCAGCCUGCCAAGUGCUAUGCACUCGUUCCAGUGCCAAAAUACAAAACACACCAGCAGCUUUAAUGUAGUUUUUUAAACUGCUGUGCUUCAAUGGGCUGUUGCAGUAACUUGGGAUGAAGAAGUUAGGCUGCUCACCAGUUUGUUUUGCCAGGCUGAUCCUCCAUGGCAAGUGUUUGGUUAUUUAUUUGGGCUGUUUGUAUUAAAACCAGGUUCUAGAGGGGAAAGGAAAAAAAAAUGAGGGGUGCACCCUUCUCCAUUUUAAAACCCCUCAAAUUCUGAAGGAUGAAAUCAAUUAAGAAAAACCUCCUUUGCGGUUUCCACAUCAGAGGUAUCUUUUCUGUAGUUGCAGUAGUUGUAAAAAUGAAGGCUGGGACGUUACCUGUCUCUUUCUGCUGAUCUUUCCUAAGGUGACUGGUACUGAGUGGUAUUGCUUCAAAUCAGUUGCAAGUGACUGACUUGUAAAAGAGCUGGUUGGCAUCUAGUGCUUAAUUUUUCCAUUCCUAAACCAUUUUAGUGAUAAUAACUUCAUUUGUGACACUCCACUUCCACUAGUAGGUGGAAGCUCGAGGGGGAAAAUGUUAUAGUUCUUUCACAAUUCAUUAGUUUGUGGAUGUUUCUGUUAUGUUGUUUCCACACAGAGUGACUCAUAGCUAAAUGAACACAGCAGCCUAAAGGCGUGCCCUCACUGCUGCGGCCCACAGUGAAACUUGAUGCCAUUAUAUAUAUAAGGAGGAUGCUCAGACGUGUUUGAAUCCUUGAGAAAUUGCAUGCACAUUGGACAUGUGUACUAUCAAACACUUCCUCAGCGUAGUUUAUUUCAAGAAGUUGUGUUUUACCCUGAUUGCUCUUUUUUACACAAUUAAUUUAGCAAGUUGUUGGCAACAUCUUGGCAACAUCUGUCUUGUGAGUGUAAGUUAGAGCUGAGAAACUGUGUCUUUGUCUUGUAAAGCAGUACGGUUUCAGUGUAUUCACUUCUGAACUAUUUGAGAAGAGAUUAUGGAAGUACUUGCAUUGCCACAUUGUUUUUGUAAUGAUUUAGACAGAUUCAGAAGUGUUUCUGUCAAGUUGAUAGGAUGCAAACACGAAUUAUAGUGAACCAGUUGGCCUCUGGUUAUCCCAGCUCUCCUUGCACUGCAGAUUGCUUACCAAUUCUUUCCUUGUUUAACAAAAAUGUCAAAAAAAGAAGCAUCUUUACCUAUUGACAUGUCACGCAUCAUCAUUUGUGUUACAGAAGUUUUGUAUUGGAACUCUGCACAAAGCAGAUCUAAAACUGCUCUGGGGUUCCUGUCCUACAUUCCUUACACCUCUCUUACCCUGCAUUCUGGUACCUCAAUUGCAAAAUGCAAACAUUGAGAGUAUUAAAUAAAACGUGUACUUUUUUUGUUGUUGUUUUGAAUCUUUAGGUGCUGCCAGUGGUGAUGGUGUGCUGUUUUGUGUAUGUGUGCAUGUGUUGGUUGUUUGUUUCUCCAGGUGUUAAACAGCAGUGUUAACUAAAAGCUGCCAUUGUUUGUAUAUAGAAAAUACAUACAUAGCUCUGUGUUUGUUCUCUGGGUGGCAGAGCUAUGGAUUUGAUAAUACUGAGACAAAUUAUACAGUAAAUACACUGUGAGUGAGGUACCUUUAAUUUAUUGGUCCUAUUCAACUAGGCUUGCUAUGUGCCAAAGCAAACAAACAUGUUUAUAUUAAAGAGUUGUCUUGCCAUAAGAUUUUCACUUCAUGCUUCUCACAGCUGUACACCAUGUCAGCUUUUCUGUGGAUGUCCAUAUUUGUUGUCAGGAGGAGAUGUCUGUGCUUACCUAACUGUGAUUCUGCUGACACAGAUCUGAUCUCCAUCCCUCUUCUGGUUUGUAGAGGCUGUAAUGUGUUAAUGAGAACUACACGCAGUUACCAACAAAAGCUGCCACAACUUCCAUGGAAUACACUGGAAGACAAUAAGAGCAGCAAUGUCAAUCCUGUUUCAAAUUCCAGCACCCCAGGCCAAGUCAUCCUGGGUCACUUAAGGAUGUCUCACUAGGAGAGUAUAGGAGGAAUAAAGCUGUAACAGAAUGCUGCUGUUUGAUCUUCAAGUAGCAUUGAAGCAUAGGCAGGGGAGUGACUAUCAAAAUGAAAAUACAUCAGAAAUUGCCACUUGGGCAGUUCAGGAGAGGAGAGUGUUGCUGCCAACGAAUCAGGCCCCAUUCCCCUUUCAAUAAGCAUAAGUAGCAGCAGGAUGCCAGAAAUGGGCAUGCUGUUGUGUUCCAUCCACAUCUGUAAGCACGAACCCAGGCUGCUCUGCCUGUGGUGCUCUCAGUUUGUGGGUCUCUAGUUUGUUGAGAUCCCUCCUCCUUUGCCAGCAGGGGUCCUGGAGCCUUGCUGCAGCCUGGGCCCUUUUAGCCCAUUCCCUUUCCACCUGUUUCAGAGCUGCUUUUUUCUCCUGUACUGCGUGCUGAAGAUGCAGAGCUCUGUGGUUACGUUGAGGGGCUGUGAUGUGAGACUGUCUGUGUGGGCUGUGUAGAAGUGCAGACAGGCUCAUGUCAGGUGCUGAAUGUUCUGACCUUCUCCUUUCUGCGUGGAACCAUUAAGCCCUUUUGUCCCGGGCAGCACUUCCACCCAAGGCUGUACGCUGCGCUGCUAUUCACCCAGCAUACACAGGCGUGUUCAGGUCAGGUUCCUCUCACUUGCAUCAGUACCAGAGGCAAUGUUGAUUUGGGCCGGCCAGCAGUGCCAUCAGCAGAAUAGCACCGCAGUGCUGAGGGAUGGGGAAAGAGAGCAUGUAGCCUGUUCCAGCCAUCAACCUGUUGGACCAACAGCUGUCUGUAGGUUUGAGCUGUGUUUGUGUAUAGGAUGCCCUCGUGUUACUGCAGCGGGUUAGAUCUUCCCUUGAAGUGUACAGUGCCAGAUGUUCUUGUUUAAGAAUACACUUUGGCUGAUGGCAAAAUAACUCCUGCUUGAUGCCUCCGUGCUAUGUGCUCUGCAAGUUGGGUGCUCUGUGCUGAUGCUACUGCAGUGAAUCCUGAUGGAAUCCUCUUAGCUCAAUAUUGAAAACAAGAUGUUAAGAAUAAAAGAGUUCUGGUCAUUAAACUGGAAGUAAUGUGAAGCGGGAGCUGAUUGAUAACCUGACACUUGGCUUCUGUAGCACCUGCCUCAAAGUAAUGGCUCCUUACACUGUACAUUAAUCACGAAGAAGUUCAGAAAUGCCUCAUUCCAUCCAGAAACUUUUAUUAUGAAGUAAAUAGCUUUCAUAGUAUUGGAAUGAGCACAUAUAUGUCUUUAAUAAAAAUGUCUUCAUAUCCAAAUGAGGUUAGUUUACACCUCUUUUCCCAUGAGUUUGUUCUGUUGUAAUUGUCUUCCUUCCCUUUAAAAGGGAAAAUUGGCAUGGAACAGCUUUGCAGGUAAAUGUGGAGCAGCUUUGCAGGUAAAUGUGCAGUGGAGUAUAUUUUGAAAUAUUCAAUACAUAUUUUUAAGCUUCAUCUAGAAAAGCAAAAAAUGUCACUUUUAUUUUAGAAAGAGGCUGCAAAUUGCCAAUGAGGUGUAUCAUUGAAAUGAUCACAGGCAAAAGCUGUUAAUUUGGCAACCACUGGUUUGCAAAACAGAACAAAUUAAGGAGGUUAAGUGUUACGUUCCUAUUUCCUACUAUUGAAUAGUCUGCUUUGGGAACACAAAUGAAAGGUAUGUUGCCUUUUGGACUCACAAAUUGUAUACUGCUUUUCUGCAACCUGUUGCCUUUCUUUUAUGCCUGCCAGCUUUCCUGUCAAUGUGGACAGUAAGGUCAUCUCGAACCCACAGCUUCACUACACACAGUCUGUUUAACUGUUCACUGCGUACCAGCUUCAUUUUCUCGCCAAGAAAGAGUUCCCAGGCUAUCUUUCUAGUUCUCUUUUCUAUGUUAUUGUCUUCUUAAGUCUCCAUUUGUUCCCUUUAUUGCACCGUGGAUUGCUUCAGACAUUUAUUAUUGCCCUAUUUACCUGACCCAGCCACUUAUUAAACCGUGAAGUCUUAUCCCUGCUUUGGCAUUGCUGGAAGUCUCUUCUUAGUAUUCCCCUGCAUAUUCCACCCUUGGCCACUCUUCUAAUAUUCCUUCACUUCACGUUCCCAUACAGUGUGGAAGAAGUGUGACUAGUGAUAGGACUAGAGGGAAUGGCUUCAAGCUGUGCCAGGGAAGGUUCAGGCUGGACGUUAGGAAAUACUACUUCUCUGAAAGGGUGGUCAGGCACUGGAAUGGGCUGCCCAGAGAGGUGGUGGAGUCACCGAGCCUGGUGGUGUUCAAAGUG